CGAACCUUCGGGCUUAGCGGCGGACGGGUGAGUAACGCGUGGGAACGUACCCAUUCCUGCGGAAUAGGCCCUGGAAACGGGGUUUAAUACCGCAUACGCCCUUCGGGGGAAAGAAUUUCGGGGAUGGAUCGGCCCGCGUUGGAUUAGGUAGUUGGUGGGGUAAUGGCCUACCAAGCCGACGAUCCAUAGCUGGUUUUAGAGGAUGAUCAGCCACACUGGGACUGAGACACGGCCCAACUCCUACGGGAGGCAGCAGUGGGGAAUCUUAACAAUGGGGGCAACCCUGAUCUAGCCAUGCCGCGUGUGUGAUGAAGGUCUUAGGAUCGUAAAGCACUUUCGCCGGGGAAGAUAAUGACGGUACCCGGCAAAG
RNAcentral lists this ribosomal RNA (370 nucleotides) under uncultured Alphaproteobacteria bacterium. RNAcentral describes it as "bacterial SSU rRNA". It matches the Rfam family "Bacterial small subunit ribosomal RNA", at positions 76 to 487 of the family's 1533-position model. Lineage: Bacteria; Pseudomonadati; Pseudomonadota; Alphaproteobacteria. The record is from RNAcentral.